RNAcentral lists this long non-coding RNA (4891 nucleotides) under Canis lupus familiaris (dog). Its description in RNAcentral is "lncRNA (ENSCAFG00000053831.1)". Lineage: Eukaryota; Metazoa; Chordata; Mammalia; Carnivora; Canidae. The record is from RNAcentral.
UUUUUGUUUUUGUUUUUUUUUUUAAAUAGUUUCCCUGCCCUGGCUUGUCCAGUUCCUUUUCUUCCCUUCUCUCUUGCUUGGGAUCCCCCUCCUCUCUCUACCACGCCUGCCCUAACAGCCCCUUCUAUACCUUCUCUCCAUGCCUGUUUUUCAUCUCUUGGGCUCAGAAAAUGAAAUAAGUGUUGCUUAAAUUAUACAAAUUAAGUUUAGAGAAAUAAAGAGCAAAAGUCUCAGAUGCCCUCCCAUGAAUAUGAUGCGUGAGAUCAAUCCUGGUCUCUGACGUGACCCUGUGCAAUCUAGAGCUUACGGCUGGCUUCUGACAUCCCAAUAACGGCCUUUCUUUUUAUGUUAACCAUGAUUCAGGCACUGUGGCAAUGCUUGCCAUACUCAUUUGGUUUAAUGUGCACUAAACGAUCAUCUGCAACAAUUUAAAUUUAUGCCCAUUUUGCAGAUGUGGAGAUGGAGGCUUAUUAGCGAUGAGAAGUAAUUCGCCCCCUGCGGUGUGGCUGAGAAGCGGCAAAGUGGAUUCUAACCAGAUCUCAAGUUGCAGAAGCCUGUGUGCUAACUGUUGUGUCAUUUUGCCCCCUUUCUGGUCCAGGCUGCGCAGAAGCACAUGGCUAGUGAGCAUCUCGGGUUAAAUGCGGAUUUAGUAAUGUUCUCUGCAACAGAAACUAAUGAUCUGGGCAUGAGCAAUAUCUCAGUACCUAAGAAAGCCUAAAACUGCUUUGGAAAGUCCACAUGCAACAGAAGCCUUGUUAAUUUAGUUCCCCACCAGGUUAUUACCUAAAAUGGAAACGCAACAUUUUCACUGCCAUCCUCAGAACAACCUACUCCAGUGGUCUUAGGGGAGCUCUCUGACUCAAUUUAUCACCUGAGGUCAUCUACUUGGAGGAGAAAGUCUGGAAUGCCCCGGAACAGUUUUAUUAGCUUUGGAUUCAGCGGAUGAGGGAGCGUUUGCAGGUGUGGGUUUUCAAAGCACAAAGUUUCCUUCAGUGGCCUCAAUGGAGCCCUUGUGUGGGCCUCGUCGUUGCAAUCCCAGCCCUACAGGAACGUGCUCGGAGCAGUAUUUGUGUGGAAUAAGGCACUGCAUUGGUGGACUAGACGCUACCCUGGUGACCUCAUGGGGUGGAAAGACUGUCUUCCAGAGGGUGUUGGGAAUAAUCCGGCGCACACUGUCACCCCUUGGGAGAGAAUCUGUCUCACUUACGAAGUGCACUGUGAGACCUCAUUGGACUCACAGUUCUUUUGCUUCUUUGAGCAAACAAAUAAGCUUUUGCCUUGCUUUGAUCAGUUGCUUAGCUCACCAGAGAAAACAACCCUUCCUUUUUCUCCUUGGACCACACCCUGGUCCAAGGUCAAGAUGACAUCACCAUCAAGAUUACUGUGCCCUCCCUGUUCCAGCUUCCUAAAGUUCCAGGACUUUCACCAAAGUAAUCACUCAGAACCGUCACCACAAGAAUAGGAAUGUUUAAAUAAAAAAAUAAAAUGCAGGGCCUUCAGUUAGAUUUGAAUUUCAUACAACAAGGAAUAAUCCCUUAAUAUUUAGAAUCUGGGAUACACCUGUGCUAAAACAUUACAUGUCGGUUCUCUGAAGUUCAAAUUUAACUGGAUGUCCUGUAUUUUUAGUUGUAAAACCUGGCAAUGCCACACAAGAACAUACGUGUUCUUGAGCAUUAGGCUAAGCGUUGCAUAUUGGCACUCUCCUAUCAUUCUCAUUAGAACGACGACAAAACUGAAGCCCAGAAAAUUGUCUAUAUCUCAGGAUGACACAGUCCGUAAGGGCGAGAUGACAAAUUCAAACAGAUGUGACUUCAAAAGCCUUGCUCUCCCCACCACAGGGAGAACUCCAAAAUCUAAUCCCAGAAAUCUGUCCCUGUCACCUUCUCCCUCCUUCCUAUCCAGGACACUGGGGGGGAAAAAAAAAUCUGGUGUAAGACGUAAUUUAAAUAAAGUGCCAGCGAGUUUUCUGGAGGAGGCAGCCAGCCCGCGUUCGCUCCUCGCCACUCGAGUAUUUAUUUUUCUGAGCACAGCGAGGCGAGCAUGCUUUUCAUUUCAGCUGCAUCUGCAAUCACCUUUCUCCUGCUGUAUUUAACUGCUGAUACAGGACUCUGAUUUACUAAACUAAGGAGUGGAGACAUUUACAUAAAACAGCUUACUGCAGGGUGUACCUAAUCGGCAGGAAUUCUAGGGGAAAUUCAACAAGACACAAAAUGCAUCUCGGAAAGUGCUGAAAUGGAAGUUCUCCACGAAUGAAAGGAGAUGCGAAUGUUUUAAAUCUAAAUAUAUUUCUUCGUUUAUAUAAAAAUACGGGCUCCUCUGGUCCUCCAGGGACUUAAGGAGUUCCACCUUGAGCCAUCUGCUCACUGCAGGUGGAGGAGAAUCGCGGCUGUGGAUCUGGGGUCUCCCGUCCGUCCUCCUCCUGAGGAUCUGAGAAAAGUUGCCCAGACUUAUCACACUAAACAGAAAUAAGGAAUUAUUAGAUGUUUCAUUCUUUUCUCUUCUUUUUCCCCCAUUUUUUAAAAAUUCUUUUAAAAUCUCUUUCAUUCUUUGCAUGCCAGAGUGCUUUUGCACAGCCAGGAUCUGUUCAGCGAAGUGGGAGGGGGGUGUAAAGAUGCCAGUUAUUCACCUGGAUUGACCACACAGGGAAUCCCUAAUGGGGACCAAUGAGGCCUCAGUGAGGGUUUGGGGGGGGGUCUAUACAAAUGUUGACUCUGUUUUAUCAUCCUUUUUUGGCUCUUCUCUCCAUGCCUCUCUCUUUCCUUAAAUAUUUCUUCCCUCAUGAAACCUUCCCUAGUUCCCCCAGAAAGAAAUGUUGCCUGUUGUUUCUUUUCUGAGUAACCACUUGGAAGGAGGCACACUGUUCUAGAAGCUGGUGGGAGAAACACUGGUGCUGGUCCAGAUGUCUGCUCCCCUGGGGCAGGGAUUCUGAUGGAGAGUCAGAGAGGGUAAGCAAGUCAGCCGAGGAAGGAACAAGUAGCAAGAUAAACAUUACUGCCACAAAUCCUGCUAUGAGACAAAGUAUUGCAAUGAAAGAAAUAAACACAGUGAUUGGAGGGAGGUGUUCUCCAGGAAAGGUCUGUCCACAAGCAGAGGCCCAAGCACAGGGCCUUUACCCACCCCACCUGUAUGCAAAAACAUGCUAAUUUAUAUGACUGCCAUACUGUAAAUUCCCUAUAAGGAGAAAACCUAUUUUUUUUUUCCUGCAUAACUGCCACCAUGGUGACGACAGUCAAUAUCCAAAAGCCUGGGGCAGUUUGGGGGAGGGUGUAUCAGGGUUUCAAAGGGCAUAAGUACGGUUCACACAUAGAACCAAUUUUUAAAAUACUUCAUGAAUAAAUGAAAUAAAAUAUUCUCAUGAAUAAAUAAAUACAGUCAUUUCAUGAGAGACACACUGAGAGAAGGGCAGAGAGACAUAGGCAGAGGGAGAAGCAGGCUCCCUGCGGGGAGCCCGAUAUGGGACUGGAUCCUGAUCUGGGAACUCCUGGAUCAUGCCCUGAGCCCUUAGCCGAGGGCAGACAGAACGCUCAACCGCUGAGCCACCCAGGCAUCCCAAUAAAUAUAGUCCAAAAAAAACAAAAAGAAGGUGCCGAAUAUCACAAACUCAGCAGUAAAGACAGCCUUCCUACGCUACUUGCUCACCUUAGUUACCUACUCUGUUGUCAUCAUUUAUUAAUGUCUUCCAUGCUGGUCUACAAUUUCCUUGAGGACUGGUCCUUGAUGGGUUUCAUUCAUGAAUGUAUUCCAGCACUUAAUCCAGUGUCUGGCACAAGGUGGACACUCAAUAAAUGGGCUCAGUAGUCAAUUUCAUUAAAAUUAAGAGAACAGUCUGCUAUCAGGAGUUUACCCACAAUAGCAACUCCGAGAAUAUAAUCAAGGGUUCAACCUCCAACACGCAGAAAUCUUUCAUGUCAGACAAUGACAUUGUGCUUUGAAUAUGUUGAGUCAGAGACUGAACUGAGAUCCCUGGCUACCCGCCUGAGGUACCCUGGAUUCUCAGAUGGAUCUUCCCCUGAUUUACUCUUAGCACAUCACUACCUAAUGUAGGACAGAUCAUACUUCUUUAUUUUGCUUUUGUCUGUCCCGUCCUCUAGAAGGCAAGUACAAGGGCAAGGAUUUCCAUCUGUUAUCCCCUACUGAUGACCGGCGAGUAGCAGGAUCCUUGGUCCAUGGUCGGAACUCAGUACGCACAUGUUAAAGGUCUAAAUGUGAUUGUUGUAACUGCCUCCUAAAACAGGGGACAGAACAACACAAGCAAACACUCCAUAAACACAAAGGUCAACUCACUGGAUUGCCAUCUACACAGCACACCCUAUACAACAUUGCCCCAACAUUCCAGGUAACUAAUGUUACUGAGUCUCAUAUUCCCACCAAUUUCUCUUCUAACCCCAGAAACCAGAGGCCAUAUACCGGAGGCCUGUGGGACAGAUAUAAGGCCUACCUACUGAAGAGUUCUGCUUGGCCCACAUAUUACUUUAAAAUAUUGACUUAGCUGCUGGCACUUAAAACUCAGUAGGUUCUAUCUAAAAUUGUGAACUUACAGCCCAUUUAGGAGGAAAAAAAAAAAAAAAAAGGAAAAUAAGAUGUGGCAGGGCUUGGCGGGAGGUCCAACUGGCAACCCUAGGUUGGGUCUGAGCUCCAGUGGCCACACUUCUGGCCCAGGCCCAGGUCCUGAGGCCCCUUUCACUCAGGCUGUGACAGGCCUGGCCUCCGAAUGCAUUUCGGUGUGCGACCCCUGCUGGAAAGUUACCAAAAAGCAGGCAACAUGGAGAAAAAAAGUAAAGAUGCCACUGGGAUCUAUUUCUGUUAUGUUCAAGCCAUUCCUCGGAAGAAUAAUGUAUUCAUUUUUCUAGAACUCUGGUGGUACCACAUAACUAUUGACAAACUAUGGCCC